Molecule: non-coding RNA, 2061 nt
Organism: Budorcas taxicolor (takin)
Lineage: Eukaryota; Metazoa; Chordata; Mammalia; Artiodactyla; Bovidae
Source: the annotation of a RefSeq genome assembly
UCUCCAGGAGUGGUGACUCUCAUCUGCUCCAAGAUGAACCCACUGUGGACCCUCGUCUUUGUGCUGUCAGCCCCCAGAGGGGUCCUGUCCCAGGUGCAGCUGCAGGAGUCGGGACCCAGCCUGGUGAAGCCCUCACAGACCCUCUCCCUCACCUGCAGGGUCUCCGGAUUCUCAUUAAGCAGCGAUGGUGUAGGCUGGGUCCGCCAGGCUCCAGGAAAGGCGCUGGAGUGGCUUGGUAUCAUAUAUAGUGGUGGAAGUACAUACUAUAACCCGGCCCUGAAAUCCCGGCUCAGCAUCACCAGGGACACCUCCAAGAGCCAAGUCUCCCUGUCACUGAGCAGCGUGACAACUGAAGACACGGCCGUGUACUACUGUGCAAGAGACACAUGUGCAUGUUCUUCUUUGAAAAAUAUCAUUGACGUCUGGGGCCGAGGACUCCUGGUCACCGUCUCCUCAGAAAGUGAAUCUCACCCGAAAGUCUUCCCCCUGGUGUCCUGUGUGAGCUCCCCAUCUGAUGAGAACACGGUGGCCCUGGGCUGCCUGGCCCGGGACUUCGUGCCCAAUUCUGUCAGCUUCUCCUGGAAGUUCAACAACAGCACAAUCAGCAGCGAGAAAUUCUGGACCUUCCCCGAAGUCCUGAGGGAUGGCUUGUGGUCGGCCUCCUCUCAGGUGGCCCUGCAUUCCUCAAGCGCCUUUCAAGGGACGGAUGGCUACCUGGUGUGUGAAGUCCAGCACCCCAAGGGAGGAAAGACCAUCACGACCGUGAUGGUGGUCGCUCCAGAGCCGGAAGUGUUGUCCCCCGUCGUGAGUGUCUUUGUCCCGCCUCGCAACAGCCUCUCUGGUAAUGGCAAUAGCAAGUCCAGCCUCAUCUGCCAGGCCACUGACUUCAGCCCCAAACAGAUCUCCUUGUCCUGGUUUCGUGAUGGAAAGCGGAUAGUGUCUGGUAUUUCUGAAGGCCAGGUGGAGACUGUACAGACCUCACCCAUAACAUACAGGGCCUACAGCAUGCUGACCGUCACGGAGCGAGAAUGGCUCAGCCAGAGCGUGUACACCUGCCAGGUGGAACACAACAAGGAAACCUUCCAGAAGAACGCAUCCUCUUCGUGUGAUACUACACCACCGUCUCCCAUCGGAGUCUUCACCAUCCCCCCAUCCUUUGCCGACAUCUUCCUCACGAAGUCAGCCAAGCUUUCCUGUCUGGUCACAAACCUGGCCUCCUAUGAUGGCCUGAACAUCAGCUGGUCCCAUCAGAAUGGCAAGGCCCUGGAGACCCACACUUCUUUUGAGAGACACCUCAACGACACCUUCAGCGCCAGGGGUGAGGCCUCAGUCUGCUCGGAGGACUGGGAGUCCGGAGAGGAGUACACGUGCACAGUGGCCCACUUGGACCUGCCCUUCCCAGAAAAGAGGACUAUCUCCAAGCCCAAAGACGUCGCCAUGAAACCGCCGUCCGUGUACGUGCUGCCUCCAACGCGGGAACAGCUGAGCCUGCGGGAGUCAGCCUCCGUCACCUGCCUGGUGAAGGGCUUCGCGCCCGCGGACGUGUUCGUGCAGUGGCUGCAGAAGGGGGAGCCCGUGGCCAAGAGCAAGUACGUGACAAGCAGCCCGGCGCCCGAGCCACAGGACCCCAGCGUGUACUUCGUGCACAGCAUCCUGACGGUGACCGAGGAGGACUGGAGCAAAGGGGAGACCUACACCUGCGUCGUGGGCCACGAGGCCCUGCCCCACAUGGUCACCGAGCGGACCGUGGACAAGUCCACCGAGGGGGAGGUGAGCGCUGAGGAGGAAGGCUUCGAGAACCUCAACACCAUGGCCUCCACCUUCAUCGUGCUCUUCCUCCUGAGCCUCUUCUACAGCACCACGGUCACCCUGUUCAAGGUGAAGUGACGGCCGGCCAAGGACACGGGGCACCAGAGAUGGAACAAGGGGGGCUGCCUUGGGGCCAGGCCCCUGGCCGAUGUGGCUUGUUCGCUUGUACUGAAAUCUUCCCCGCAUCCUCUCCAGCUUCAAGCUGUAAGAAACUGGCUUUUCUCGGAGCGGCUGAGUGCCGUGGCCAAGCAU